Taeniopygia guttata (zebra finch) is the source of this 2740-nucleotide long non-coding RNA. NCBI's taxonomy places the organism in Eukaryota, Metazoa, Chordata, Aves, Passeriformes, Estrildidae. The record is from Ensembl.
UAGUUUCUCUGAGAAGACAGAUCUGAAGAAAAUUCAAGAAAAUGAGAAAAUAGAUCUAAAUAAGCUCCAAACCCAGCUGUGGCUCAGGACCCGUGGAUGCAGCCCCAGUUUCUUCCCACACCUCAUGGAUUCAGUCUGGAGAAAAGGCUGCCUGGCCAUGACAAACUGACCGUUGGCUCCGUGAUUUGUGUGGAGUUGAAUACAUUGGUUAACUGCAAGCAGUAUGUUCUGAAGAUGAUGGUGUUCAGACAAAUACCCAAUUUGAUUCUGAUAAAUUGGAUGCAAGACUUUGACCAGCGUGAGAAGAACAGGCAUUAUGGAAGCAGGCAGCAUCCCAGACCUGUGGAGAAGCUCAGCAGGAGAACAAGUGGGGGAAAAUAUUCCCAAUGUCAUGCUGCUGCUGGUGGCUCAGGCACAGGAACAGGGGCCUGUGGUGGUCCAGCUCUUUGGAAAGUUUUGUACAGAAACCAGGAGGAUCUAAGAGCUGGAGCUAAUCCGUGAGAAAACAGCACCACCAGCAACAACAAUUUGCUCUAGACCAGAAAGAAGGUGGAAGAGGUGGGACUAAGAAGGACUUUCUCUUUCAAAAGAAGAAAUGUUGCUUUCCAGGCACCUGUAUGCUGAAAUUGAUUGAAAUGCAGCUUUCAUGCGGCCUGAUAACUGUUCCUCACUGGAGGAAGAACCUUGGAUAAAUGGAAUUUGCUCUGCCUUGCUCAGUGAGGCCACCUCAGAGCGCUGGUGCUUGUGUGAAUUGAAGAAAUAUUUGGAAACUGAGGUGGUUGUUACCUUUCUGUGCCUGGGUGUUCAAAGAGUGUUUCUGGCCAACACCUAAAAUUCAGUUUCCAAGGCCGGAGGCAGCAAAAGGCAAGUUUUGUAAAGACAAAAUGAGACCAAUGGAAAGAAAUUUCCUCCCAGCACAUUGGGAACCCUUCUCAACAAUAAAAACCACCAAAGGAACCACAAUGUUUGUGGAUUUUGUAGCUCCUUGUUCAGUCCAAAUACGAGGCAACCUUUCCCCUGGAUUUAUGGAGUUUAACACUGCAGGGAGUUUGGGAUCUUCACAAACUAUAACCAGAUUUUACUGGUGCCAAAUCUUUUGUGAUCCAAGCUCAUUUGUGGUGGGAAUGGGCUCAAGGUAAGGUCAUGAGGAAUUAUAUUGUUUCUUUCUUUCCCUUGUAUGGAAUUCUCAAAAGCCAGUUGCUGACUGGGUUGGUAAAUCACAUCCUGCAUAAAUAUAUUGAUAAAUACCAAUAUAUCUUCAGCUAAGAAGAAUCAGAGAUGUCCCAAGGAGGAAAAAUUAACUCCUUUUCCACCUCUGUUUGCAUUGAAGAUGUUUCUUGUUUCAAAGACUUUUCCCUUAGAAUAACUGUUUGCAAGCCCUGUGAAAAGCCAGGUAAUAUCCUUAUAUAUCCUUCGUCCUGUCCCAGGUCCAUGUUUUAAGAUCAGUGUCUCAGGUAUAACCAGUUCUUCCAAACAUCACCUUUUACUCUUUUUGACCUUAAAUGUUAAUGUACUCUCCUUGCUUUAUUUUCAGAAAUUCUGUUUAUUAUUUGAAAUGAACAUGCAGCAAUAGAAGUUUUCUCUAAAUUAAGCAAAAACUCAAUCUUUUACAUAUAUUUUCUCAUGUAAUUGUUAUCAGGUUGGUAAAAGGAAUCUGAUUUUCAGUAGAGAAGCAGAAUUUUCUUUAUUUUUGUUUAAUCUGUAGGGAUUUUCCAUGUUUUAUAAAAGCUGCAGGUACAGGUAAAGAUAAGGAAAGAGGAGGGCAGGUAUUGGUGUGCUCACUGAGUAGCUGAUUUAGAGAAAUGGGGGUCCCCUGGGCCUGACUUGCAACCAAAUGACCAAAACACUUUGCCUUUUAUUUAUUUAUCCAGCUACUUAACACUUCUUACCGUUUCUCUUAAAUGAAUUAAUUUACCCUACAAAGCACUCCUUGCAAUAAUCAAUGACUCAUUACACUGAAAGCCCGCAGGAAAUACUAAUUAAAUGAAAAAUGUGCAGGAGGAAUGUGCAACUUUUGUAUUUCCAACGGCCCAGAUACUCAGUGCUCUCUUUUUUUUCCUAAAUCCUCAUAAGUUACAGGAGAGGUUUUUGCCUUCAGCCACAGGGAGCUGCAGUGGCUUGGAGGGUGGUGAUAUUUCCCAGACAUACCAAAUCCAGUUCAUUUAUCAUCAAUAUCCACAGGAAAUAAUAAUCUGUUUAUACAUCACAUUUCUUUGAGCUCUGCGACGUUCUAGUCAUGAAUUCCUUCCAGCUGCUUUUCUCGUUCCCACAGCAGAAUUGCUUGGGAAGGGUUAUCCCUUACCCAGCACUUACUUCAACAAUUAUUGACUGAUAGCCACUGGUAAUUCCAGCUCUCCAACAAUCCUUGAUAAAGAUUUUGUGCUGUUGUUAUGCUCUCAAAUGUUUCCUCACCCAUAAAGGCCUCGAACUCCAGGUUGGGUAGUUCACACAGCCACCUUUUUGGGAUCUUUGAAUAGGAAGAGCUUAAUAAUAUGGAAAUAAUAUGGAAGAUGAAGUUUUUAUAAGGAUAGAAAUGCUGAAAGUGAGAGUGGGUUCAAAACUCCUGCUUCCUUGCUGUGUCCUGCUCCCUUUGGUGAGGGAUUUCUGGAGCAAUCGAGGUUUCUUUUAUCCUUGGUCAGUGAUUUUUGGAGAAAGUGUGUUAAGACAAGCCAUGAAAUAAAGCAAUCAGAGCAAGGUAAAGCAAAAUCCCCCAAAACCACCACCAGCAUAAAAAAAACCC